This 715-nucleotide ribosomal RNA is filed under the name Desmodesmus sp. M-005. Its description in RNAcentral is "partial small subunit ribosomal RNA". The stretch from base 197 to 496 matches the Rfam family "Group I catalytic intron". Lineage: Eukaryota; Viridiplantae; Chlorophyta; Chlorophyceae; Sphaeropleales; Scenedesmaceae. The record is from RNAcentral.
CGUAUAUUUAAGUUGUUGCAGUUAAAAAGCUCGUAGUUGGAUUUCGGGUGGGUUUCAGCGGUCCGCCUAUGGUGAGUACUGCUGUGGCCUAUCUUACUGUCGGGGACCUGCUUCUGGGCUUCAUUGUCCGGGACAGGGAUUCGGCAUGGUUACUUUGAGUAAAUUAGAGUGUAAAACGAUUGCUUUGUGCACUCAAAAGUCGUGGUCAAAACCAUGGCUAGUGCGGUUGAAAGCAACCGUGCGACACCAUCAAAUUGCCUGGAAACCCCGCACAACAAUGCCGGUGGUACCGCCUGCUGUGGGAAACCGCAGACUGGCACCUCAGGGAAACUUGAGGGCAUGGUAAAAAUCUACCGGACAGGGGCAAUGGGCAGCCAAGUCCUACAGACAGCCGUGAAGGCUGUCCACGGAUGCAGUUCACAGACUAAAUGGUGGUGGGCUGGUUGCAGCUGUGCAAUCGGCUUAAGAUAUAGUCGGCCCCCACCGAGAGGUGGACUGUCGGAGGAAAGGCUGGUACAACAGCCUGGAGAGCCGGCAGUGAGGGACUGUGUAAAAUACCACCCGGUGCGAGCUGGGUGGGGCAGGACUCCUUGCGAGCCCAGCCCAGUCCCUCGGAGAAAGCGUCAAAGCAGGCUUACGCCGUGAAUACUUUAGCAUGGAAUAACACUAUAGGACUCUGCCCUAUUGUGUGGCCUGUAGGAGUGAGUAAUGAUAC